UAUAGGAUCCUGCCCCCUAUGGGACCCCGAUGAACCCACCCAGUGCUUCUACCAACCCCAAGAGGAAGAGGAGGACGAAGACCCCCCCCAACCCCAUAUAGAAUCCCAUAUUACACCCCAUAAGGACCCAGGAGACAUCAGAGACCCCAACGAGGACGGCGGAGCCAAAGCAGAAGUGGGCGGAGCCAGAGUGAAAAGGGGCGGAGCCAAAGCGAAAGGGGGCGGAGCCAAAGCAAAAAGAGGCGGAGCCAAAGAACAAGUGGGCGGCGCCAAAGCGAAAAGGGGUGGAGCUAAAGCAAAAGGAGGCGGAGCUAAGGCAGAAAGAGGCGGGGCUACGGCAGAAGUGGGCGUGGCUACGAUAAGCCCCGCCCCCUUGCGCCGCAGUCUCCGCCUAUUGGCCAAGCUCCUCCCACCUGACCCCGGAAGUGGGCGUGGCCAAGAAGAGCCCCGCCCCCAGAGGGGAGGCCACGCCCCUCCUCGUAAGAAAGCACGGCUCCGCCCACCGGAGGAGGAGCCUGAUGACGUCACCGGGCCUAAGCUCCGCCCACGAGGAAGCUCCGCCUCCUCUGGCCCCAAGGUUUGAGCCCCAUACCCCCCCCAUAGACCC
Molecule: non-coding RNA, 607 nt
Organism: Coturnix japonica (Japanese quail)
Lineage: Eukaryota; Metazoa; Chordata; Aves; Galliformes; Phasianidae
Source: RefSeq, a predicted model, not a curated record